GACGAACGCUGGCGGCGUGCUUAACACAUGCAAGUCGAACGGAAAGGCCCUGCUUUUGUGGGGUGCUCGAGUGGCGAACGGGUGAGUAACACGUGAGUAACCUGCCCUUGACUUCGGGAUAACUUCAGGAAACUGGGGCUAAUACCGGAUAGGAGCUCCUGCUGCAUGGCGGGGGUUGGAAAGUUUCGGCGGUUGGGGAUGGACUCGCGGCUUAUCAGCUUGUUGGUGGGGUAGUGGCUUACCAAGGCUUUGACGGGUAGCCGGCCUGAGAGGGUGACCGGCCACAUUGGGACUGAGAUACGGCCCAGACUCCUACGGGAGGCAGCAGUGGGGAAUAUUGCACAAUGGGCGGAAGCCUGAUGCAGCAACGCCGCGUGCGGGAUGACGGCCUUCGGGUUGUAAACCGCUUUCGCCUGUGACGAAGCGUGAGUGACGGUAAUGGGUAAAGAAGCACCGGCUAACUACGUG
Molecule: ribosomal RNA, 468 nt
Filed under: uncultured bacterium
Lineage: Bacteria
Description: partial 16S ribosomal RNA
Rfam family: Bacterial small subunit ribosomal RNA
Source: RNAcentral